UAAGGGACAGGUUGGUAGAGCCCUGGAUUGUGAUUCCAGUUGUCGUGGGUUCGAAUCCCAUUAGCCA
RNAcentral lists this transfer RNA (67 nucleotides) under Klebsiella pneumoniae. RNAcentral's name for it is "tRNA-His". The record is from RNAcentral. Lineage: Bacteria; Pseudomonadati; Pseudomonadota; Gammaproteobacteria; Enterobacterales; Enterobacteriaceae.